Molecule: long non-coding RNA, 1035 nt
Organism: Alexandromys fortis (reed vole)
Lineage: Eukaryota; Metazoa; Chordata; Mammalia; Rodentia; Cricetidae
Exons: 4
Source: RefSeq, a predicted model, not a curated record
CUGCAGAGCUCCUAAGUGAUCUACACAUUUCUCAGCAUCACCACCUUGGCCACGGCCACUAUCAUCUAGUUGUACAGCUGUUGCAAUAACCUUGAACGGCUCCUGUUCCUACCCUCGUAUUCACUCUCAACUAUACAGACAUAGCCUCGAGAGCGAGCUUGAUCAACUUGAACUCCCAACUGGAUUUCCCUGUCAGUUGAAACAUUGCCCAUUCCACUGGCUCGAGUGCCCACAAGAUCUUCAUGGACUGUCUCUCCAGCUGCUCUUCCUCCCCAACCCCUGCUCCAUUUCCCACACCUUCUUCACUGUCUCUAACACUUCCAUACACUCUUGCUUUGCAGCUGGUCUUUGCACUUCCUUCCCUUCUGCUGCCCUGGGACACACUCCCCACAGGUAGCUGUAUGGCUUACUUCUUCAUUUGCCUUAAGGCUCUGCCCACUGAAAAACUAUGAAAUCAGAGACAUCUUCCCGGAUCACUUCCUACAUAAAGUACAUCCUCAUGUCUCUAUCCUCACUUUGUAUGUGUGUGCACACGUGUUUUAGUCACUGUUCCAUUGCUGUGAAGAGACACCAUGAUGAGCAAGGUUCAUGGUUUACCAGUAAAGCUCCCUGGGCAUCUGUCUCUUUCGGUGGCAGUGGCUACAUGGUGUCUCUCUGACUCCCCCUUCUUUCUCCCAGCAUUGAGUUUAGUUCCUCCCCGCCCUGCUGCAAAGCAACACAUAUACAGAAGGACUUCCCAUACCACGUAAGCUUCCAGCGAGCAUCUCCUCCACCUCCACUGGGAAGAUGUCCUGCAGCAGAUACACAUCUGUUGCUUCUGAACUACACCACCACCUGCUUCCCACAUGCACAGAGAUCUUCAGAGGACAAGUCUGUGUCCUGCCCAUCUCUCCAGCCCCACCCUUUCCAGUCCAGUGGUGCUGGAAGACUAUUGGUACCAACUUUGAUAGAAACAUACCCUCAGUCCUCGCUCAGAGCCACUGAUGAGGGAAACACUAGUGGUGAGCUUUCUGGAUUGGUGUGGGCUUCUCAGAC